CAGUCGAACGAAGCUUGACGAAUGAUUUCUUCGGAAUGAAAUCUGAUAUGACCGAUUGGCGGACGGGUGAGUAACGCGUGAGCAACCUGCCCUUCGGAACGGGAUAGUGUCUGGAAACGGACAGUAAUACCGUAUAACGUAUUUUUACCGCAUGAUAGAAAUACCAAAACUGAGGUGCCGAAGGAUGGGCUCGCGUCUGAUUAGAUAGUUGGUGGGGUAACGGCCUACCAAGUCGACGAUCAGUAGCCGGACUGAGAGGUUGAUCGGCCACAUUGGGACUGAGACACGGCCCAGACUCCUACGGGAGGCAGCAGUGGGGAAUAUUGCACAAUGGAGGAAACUCUGAUGCAGCGAUGCCGCGUGAGGGAAGAAGGUUUUAGGAUUGUAAACCUCUGUCUUCAGGGACGAAAAAAAAGACGGUACCUGAGGAGGAAGCUCCGGCUAACUACGUGCCAGCAGCCGCGGUAAUACGUAGGGAGCGAGCGUUGUCCGGAAUUACUGGGUGUAAAGGGAGCGUAGGCGGGAUCGCAAGUCAGAUGUGAAAACUAUGGGCUUAACCCAUAAACUGCAUUUGAAACUGUGGUUCUUGAGUGAAGUAGAGGUAAGCGGAAUUCCUAGUGUAGCGGUGAAAUGCGUAGAUAUUAGGAGGAACAUCAGUGGCGAAGGCGGCUUACUGGGCUUUAACUGACGCUGAGGCUCGAAAGCGUGGGGAGCAAACAGGAUUAGAU
RNAcentral lists this ribosomal RNA (728 nucleotides) under uncultured bacterium. RNAcentral describes it as "bacterial SSU rRNA". It matches the Rfam family "Bacterial small subunit ribosomal RNA", at positions 59 to 783 of the family's 1533-position model. The record is from RNAcentral.